CAGCAGAACUGCAUGCUGAAGAGAAUUAAUAGCCACAGGAGAGCGGCAGCAGCAACUUGAAGGGCGGGAGCUUGGACCCAGGGGCCCUCCAGGAGCAGUGAGUCACUGAUUUGAACCUUUAAAAGUUAUUCAUGAGCGCAGGAGUCCUCCAUUUCUGCUUUUCAGCGGCAUCUGAACCUUAAAGACCAGGGACAUAUCAAGGGAUUCUGAGUCCAUGAAAUAAUACAAGAAUGGCUAACCGGCAGACUGAGUGAAUCUAGUGACCAACAAGUAGACCCUGUUACAGUGCAACAGACCGGGAGGCUCAGUUACUAUAAAGACAAUUGGAAAUUGUGGUUUUGAAGUUCAGCUUGAAGGAAUUAGCAGGGGGUGAGUCCAAUGCUCCGACUGGAGCCCAACUUCACCUCACUUGGACACAGAACUGGAAUCUUUCCUGGUCCCACAGUGGCAGCCAUGAGGACGGAAUUGGGAGACAUUCCUGAUGGUCGGUGGUCAAACUAAUGUAUUCCUGCUGCUGUAUGAUUUCCUUUGGGGGGCAAGUGGGAUUAGUUUAGCCAGAAACUUGGUUGGCAUGGAUGAGUUGGACCAAAGGGCUGCUUCCUUGUUGUAUGACUAUAUGAUUCCAUUAAUGGACCAGUACCUGACGAGGUUACCUGGCCCAGGAUUCGGGAGGUAGUAAAUCUGACAAAUUAAGUGCAGGAUCUUUGUAGCAGCAGACAGGCCGUGCCCAGAGUGUGCCUACAGGUAGUAAUAGAGUCAUACAGCCCAAUUUGCCCGUGCUUACCACAUUUCCUAAACUAAAUUAGUCCCAUUUGCCAGCGCUUGGCCUAUAUCCCACUAAACCUUAUCUGUGCACCUUACCAAGUGCCUUUUAAGGGGGAGAAAGAGAGGACCGCAGAUGCUGGAGGUCAGAGUCGAGAGUGUGGUGCUGGAAAAACACAGCAGGUCAGGCAGUAUCCGAGGAGCAGGAGAAUUGAUGUUUUGGGCAUGAGCUCUUCAUCAGAAACUCUUGACAAAUGCCUUUUAAAUGUGAUAAUUGUACCUGCCUCUACCACUUCCUCUGGCAGCAUCAUACACCCAUAUCCCUCUGCAUAAAAAUGUUGCCCCCCCCCCCUUAGGUCCAUUUUAAAUCUUUCUCCCUCUCACCUUAAACCUAUGCCCUCUAGUUUUGAACUCCCCCUAACCCGGGGAAAGACCUUGGCUAUUAACCUUAUCCACACCCCUCAGGAUUCUGUAAACCCCUCAGCCUCCUAUGCUCCAGGGAAAAUGUAGUCCAACCUAUCUAGCUUCUCCUUAUAACUCAAACCCUCGGUAACAUUCUCGUAAAUUCACACUUUCCAGUUUCGUGACGUCCUUCCUACAGUAGGGCGACCAGAAUUGUACGUAGUAUUCCAUCUCCUAUAGCACCUCCUAACUACCCCAGCCUCCCUUCCCUCUGUCCCCCUUCCAUCACAACUGCAGCCCAUCAGGAGGCACCAGAGGGCUGUGAGGCUAGUGUCCUGCAAAGGUGCUGGCUUUCUGAUUGGCCUUGGGCUCACUGGACAACCAUCCUCAACUGGACGAGAGGCCUGGAGUUGGGAACCUCUUGUGGGUGGCACGGUGGCACAGUGAUUAGCACUGCUGCCUCACAGCGCCAGAGACCCGGGUUCAAUUCCCACCUCAGGCGACUGACUGUGUGGAGUUUGCACAUUCUCCCCGUGUCUGCGUGGGUUUCCUCCAGGUGCUCCGGUUUCCUCCCACUGUCACAAAGAUGUGCGGGUCAGGUGAGUUGGCCAUGCUAAAUUGCCCAUAGUGUUAGGUAAGGGGCAAAUGUGGGGGUAUGGGUGGGUUGCGCUUCGGCAGGUCGGUGUGGACUUGUUGGGCCG
Long non-coding RNA from Hemiscyllium ocellatum (epaulette shark), 1865 nucleotides. RefSeq lists it as uncharacterized. The transcript has 3 exons. The record is from RefSeq and is a predicted model, not a curated record. Lineage: Eukaryota; Metazoa; Chordata; Chondrichthyes; Orectolobiformes; Hemiscylliidae.